GUGGGGAAUAUUGGACAAUGGGGGAAACCCUGAUCCAGCAAUGCCGCGUGAGUGAUGAAGGCCUUCGGGUUGUAAAGCUCUUUUAUCAGGGAAGAUAAUGACGGUACCUGAUGAAUAAGCUCCGGCUAACUUCGUGCCAGCAGCCGCGGUAAUACGAAGGGAGCUAGCGUUGUUCGGAAUUACUGGGCGUAAAGGGCGCGUAGGCGGCCUUGUAAGUUAGAUGUGAAAGCCCCGGGCUUAACCUGGGAACUGCAUUUAAGACUGCAAAGCUAGAGGACGAGAGAGGAAAGUGGAAUUAUGAGUGUAGAGGUGAAAUUCGUAGAUAUUCAUAAGAACACCAGUGGCGAAGGCGACUUUCUGGCUCGUAUCUGACGCUAAGGCGCGAAAGCGUGGGGAGCAAACAGGAUUAGAAACCCGUGUAGUCC
This 425-nucleotide ribosomal RNA is filed under the name uncultured bacterium. Its description in RNAcentral is "bacterial SSU rRNA". It matches the Rfam family "Bacterial small subunit ribosomal RNA", at positions 354 to 796 of the family's 1533-position model. The record is from RNAcentral.